This 462-nucleotide ribosomal RNA is filed under the name uncultured bacterium. RNAcentral's name for it is "bacterial SSU rRNA". It matches the Rfam family "Bacterial small subunit ribosomal RNA", at positions 29 to 534 of the family's 1533-position model. The record is from RNAcentral.
AACGAACGCUGGCGGCAUGCCUAACACAUGCAAGUCGAACGAAGUCUUCGGACUUAGUGGCGCACGGGUGCGUAACGCGUGGGAAUCUGCCCUUGGGUGCGGAAUAACUUCUCGAAAGGGAUGCUAAUACCGCAUAAUGUCGUAAGACCAAAGAUUUAUCGCCCAAGGAUGAGCCCGCGUAAGAUUAGCUAGUUGGUGGGGUAAAAGCCUACCAAGGCGACGAUCUUUAGCUGGUCUGAGAGGAUGAUCAGCCACACUGGGACUGAGACACGGCCCAGACUCCUACGGGAGGCAGCAGUGGGGAAUAUUGGACAAUGGGCGAAAGCCUGAUCCAGCAAUGCCGCGUGAGUGAUGAAGGCCUUAGGGUUGUAAAGGCUCUUUUACCCGGGAUGAUAAUGACAGUACCGGGAGAAUAAGCUCCGGCUAACUCCGUGCCAGCAGCCGCGGUAAUCUGAGUCGGAG